CCAAGGCGGCCUGCAAAUAGACGGUGGUUGUACGGCUCAGGAUGUGAAGGGGCGCAUCGCAAGUAGAGAAGAAAAAAGGAAAAAGAAAUGGCGGUUCUAGCUUUUGGAUUUUAUUCCUUCUUCCAUCAGUUGCAGAAUUAUCAGACUUUUUCCUUGC
This 157-nucleotide non-coding RNA is filed under the name Heterosigma akashiwo. Lineage: Eukaryota; Raphidophyceae; Chattonellales; Chattonellaceae. The record is from RNAcentral.